RNAcentral lists this long non-coding RNA (208 nucleotides) under Lathyrus oleraceus (garden pea). Its description in RNAcentral is "Pisum sativum (pea) long non-coding RNA (PSAT_LNC022857)". The record is from RNAcentral. Lineage: Eukaryota; Viridiplantae; Streptophyta; Magnoliopsida; Fabales; Fabaceae.
AAUAUAACGAAAUCAUGCAUUAUCAGAUAUAACUUAUAAUCAAAGCAAUUGAAAACAAAAAAAUAAAGAAAUCAUGCAUUAUCAGAUAUAACUUAUAAUCAAAGCAAUGAAAACAAAAAUAUAAUGAAAUCAUGCAUUAUCACAUAUAACUUAUAAUCAAAACAAUUGAAAAAAAAUAAAGAAACCAUGGAUAAUUUACCUAAGUCAC